Molecule: long non-coding RNA, 405 nt
Filed under: Heterocephalus glaber (naked mole-rat)
Lineage: Eukaryota; Metazoa; Chordata; Mammalia; Rodentia; Bathyergidae
Description: lncRNA (ENSHGLG00000033119.1)
Source: RNAcentral
CUCAAACUUGAGGGAAUCCUUCUGCCUCAGCCUCUCAAGUGCUGGGAUUACAGAUUUAGCUCUGAUGAGUCGUGCUGUUAGAAACAUGGGUAUCAAACGCAGGCAUCACUGUGCUAUGAGGUCUUUAACUCUUUUGGGAAGAUGCUAGGGACCCUCCCAGCGGUCAGGAACACCCACAGCGAAAGCAGAAGAUGCAGCCCUGACCACUGUCUCUGCGGCAGGAAGUCGGUGAGCAAGGCCAAGGGUCCAGAUUGGUGACCCGACUUUCCCAAGGCCACCCAACAGCAGGACCAGGACCCGAGGUCAGGUCACCUCCCUCGACUGGGCACAGGCACCCUCACAGCAUGGCGGCCACAAGCCUACCUGUUUGGGAAACAUGUUUUUGCCAGGCAUGGUGCACACCUA